Molecule: ribosomal RNA, 907 nt
Filed under: Agaricus sp.
Lineage: Eukaryota; Fungi; Basidiomycota; Agaricomycetes; Agaricales; Agaricaceae
Description: LSU rRNA
Rfam family: Eukaryotic large subunit ribosomal RNA
Source: RNAcentral
GGAUUCCCCUAGUAACUGCGAGUGAAGCGGGAAAAGCUCAAAUUUAAAAUCUGGCGGUCUUUGGCCGUCCGAGUUGUAAUCUAGAGAAGUAAUGCCCGUGCUGGACCGUGUAUAAGUCUCCUGGGAUGGGGCGUCAUAGAGGGUGAGAAUCCCGUCUUUGACACGGACUACCAGUGCAUUGUGGUAUGCUCUCAAAGAGUCGAGUUGUUUGGGAAUGCAGCUCAAAAUGGGUGGUAAAUUCCAUCUAAAGCUAAAUAUUGGCGAGAGACCGAUAGCGAACAAGUACCGUGAGGGAAAGAUGAAAAGAACUUUGGAAAGAGAGUUAAACAGUACGUGAAAUUGCUGAAAGGGAAACGCUUGAAGUCAGUCGCGUUGGCCAGGGAUCAGCCUUGCUUUUGCAUGGUGUACUUUCUGGUUGACGGGUCAGCAUCAAUUUUGACCACUGGAAAAGGGCCUGGGGAAUGUGGCAGCUUAGGCUGUGUUAUAGCCCCUGGUCGCAUACAGUGGUUGGGAUUGAGGAACUCAGCACGCCGCAAGGCCGGGUUUCGACCACGUUCGUGCUUAGGAUGCUGGCAUAAUGGCUUUAAGCGACCCGUCUUGAAACACGGACCAAGGAGUCUAACAUGCCUGCGAGUAUUUGGGUGGAAAACCCGAGUGCGCAAUGAAAGUGAAAGUUGAGAUCCCUGUCGUGGGGAGCAUCGACGCCCGGACCAGAACUUUUGGGACGGAUCCGCGGUGGAGCAUGUAUGUUGGGACCCGAAAGAUGGUGAACUAUGCCUGAAUAGGGUGAAGCCAGAGGAAACUCUGGUGGAGGCUCGUAGCGAUUCUGACGUGCAAAUCGAUCGUCAAAUUUGGGUAUAGGGGCGAAAGACUAAUCGAACCAUCUAGUAGCUGGGUUCCUGCCGAG